AUUCACUAGUGAUUGAGAGUUUGAUCCUGGCUCAGGACGAACGCUGGCGGUAUGCCUAAUACAUGCAAGUCGAACGCUGAAGCACUCUGCUUGCAGAGUGUGGAUGAGUGGCGAACGGGUGAGUAACACGUGGGGAACCUGCCCAUAAGAGGGGGAUAACAUCCGGAAACGGAUGCUAAUACCGCAUAGGUGAUUUUAGCGCAUGCUUUAAUCAUUAAAGAUGGCUUCGGCUAUCGCUUAUGGAUGGCCCCGCGGCGUAUUAGCUAGUUGGUAAGGUAAUGGCUUACCAAGGCAUCGAUACGUAGCCGACCUGAGAGGGUGAUCGGCCACACUGGGACUGAGACACGGCCCAGACUCCUACGGGAGGCAGCAGUAGGGAAUCUUCCACAAUGGGCGAAAGCCUGAUGGAGCAAUACCGCGUGAGUGAUGAAGGUUUUCGGAUCGUAAAGCUCUGUUGUUAGAGAAGAACACGAGGUGUAGUAACUGGCACCUCCUUGACGGUAUCUAACCAGAAAGUCACGGCUAACUACGUGCCAGCAGCCGCGGUAAUACGUAGGUGACAAGCGUUGUCCGGAUUUAUUGGGCGUAAAGCGAGCGCAGGCGGUCCUUUAAGUCUGAUGUGAAAGCCCACGGCUCAACCGUGGAGGGUCAUUGGAAACUGGAAGACUUGAAUGCAGAAGAGGAAAGUGGAAUUCCAUGUGUAGCGGUGAAAUGCGUAGAUAUAUGGAGGAACACCAGUGGCGAAGGCGACUUUCUGGUCUGUAAUUGACGCUGAGGCUCGAAAGCGUGGGGAGCAAACAGGAUUAGAUACUCUGGUAGUCCACGCCGUAAACGAUGAGUGCUAAGUGUUGGAGGGUUUCCGCCCUUCGUGCUGGAGCUAACGCAUUAAGCACUCCGCCUGGGGAGUACGGCCGCAAGGCUGAAACUCAAAGGAAUUGACGGGGACCCGCACAAGCGGUGGAGCAUGUGGUUUAAUUCGAAGCAACGCGAAGAACCUUACCAGAUCUUGACAUCCUCUGACAACCCGAGAAAUCGGGCUUUCCCUUCAGGGACAGAGUGACAGGUGGUGCAUGGUUGUCGUCAGCUCGUGUCGUGAGAUGUUGGGUUAAGUCCCGUAACGAGCGCAACCCUUAUUGUUAGUUGCCAGCAUUCAGUUGGGCACUCUAGCGAGACUGCCGGUGAUAAACCGGAGGAAGGCGGGGAUGACGUCAAAUCAUCAUGCCCCUUAUGAUCUGGGCUACACACGUGCUACAAUGGAUGGUACAACGAGUCGCAAAACCGCAAGGUCUAGCUAAUCUCUUAAAGCCAUUCUCAGUUCGGAUUGCAGGCUGCAACUCGCCUGCAUGAAGCUGGAAUCGCUAGUAAUCGCGAAUCAGAACGUCGCGGUGAAUACGUUCCCGGGUCUUGUACACACCGCCCGUCACACCACGAGAGUUUGUAACACCCGAAGUCGGUAGGGUAACCCUUAGGGGAGCCAGCCGCCGAAGGUGGGAUGGAUGAUUGGGGUGAAGUCGUAACAAGGUAGCCGUAGAAUCGAAUCCCGCGGCCGCCUGGCGCCGA
This 1560-nucleotide ribosomal RNA is filed under the name uncultured Alkalibacterium sp. RNAcentral's name for it is "partial 16S ribosomal RNA". It matches the Rfam family "Bacterial small subunit ribosomal RNA". The record is from RNAcentral. Lineage: Bacteria; Bacillati; Bacillota; Bacilli; Lactobacillales; Carnobacteriaceae.